CCGGCUGCCCGGAAGAGGGAGCGGGGCGGUUGUUGACAACAUGGCGGCCGCUGGCGCCUCCGCCGGAGGAAGAGGCGGAGGGAGAGGAGGCGGCGGGCGGAGGAAGGAGUCUCAUUCAUAGGGAGCCCAGCUCGCUGCCCUUGCCCUCUCCCUCCCCUUCUUCCCCCCCCUCCCCGUCCCCAGCGGCCGCCUGCGCCCCCUCCCCGGCACCAUGUCCUUCUUCAGGCGGAAAGGUAGGGGGGCGGCGGGCGGGAGGCCCGGGGCUGAGGGGCGCCCGCCGGCCUCGUCCCCCGCACGGCCGCUGGGCCCCGGCCCGGCCCCGCCGGGGAUGGCGACCGGGCCCCGGGAGGACGCUCGGCCCCUGAGGAGCGGGCUCGCUGCGAACGACGUGAAAGGCAAAGAACAAGAAAAGACCACAGAUGUGAAAGCAAUUAAAACUGCAGGACCAGUACAUUCCCCUCAGAGGAGCACCAGGAAUCACGCCUUGCUGGAGGCCGCAGGACCAAGCCACGUGGCCAUUAACGCCAUCUCUGCCAACAUGGACUCCUUUUCCAGCAGUCGCACAGCUGCCUUGAAGAAGCAGCCAAGUCACAUGGAAGCUGCUCAUUUUGGAGACUUAGGCAGAUCGUGUCUGAAUUAUCAGGCUCAAGAGACCAAAUCAAGCCUUUCAAAGACCCUUGAACAAGUUCUGCAGGACAAUGUAGCGCUCCCUUAUUUUAUCCAGUUCAUGGAACUGCGCAGAAUGGAACAUUUGGUUAAGUUUUGGCUAGAGGCUGAAAGCUUCCACUCCACAACAUGGUCCCGUAUAAGAGCACACAGCCUGAACACAGUUAAGCAGAGUUCGUUGGCGGAGCCGGUGUCACCCUCAAAACAGCAAGAAGUCGCGUCGUCUUCUCCAACUGGAUUGCUCGAGGAGAGACUGGAAGAUUCCAGCAUGGUCUCUCUGCUCAGGACCAAGCCGGUGGCUUUGGACAAGAAUGACAGAACUGGCAGCAGCCAGAACCACGUGCUCUCGGGUCAGGAGAGCGACAACUCCAGUCUUCUUUGUCUAAGAAAAUCAGAGACGGGGACCUAUUCUGUUCCAGCUGAUCAGCAAGAAUCUUCCAAGCUUACAGUAUCAAAUAGAAACAGCCCUUCCUCUGCACUAAAAGACUUGUCAGGAAAACUAAUGAAAAGUAUAGAACGGGAUGCAGUUAGUACUUUUACCAAAUAUAUUUCUCCAGAUGCUGCUAAACCAAUACCUAUUACAGAAGCAAUGAGAAAUGACAUAGUUGCAAAGAUUUGCGGGGAAGAUGGACAAGUGGAUCCGAACUGUUUUGUUACAGCCCAGUCAAUAGUGUUUAAUGCCAUGGAACAAGAGCACUUUAGUGAAUUUUUGCGAAGUCAUCAUUUCUGUAAAUAUCAGAUUGAGGUGCUGACUAGUGGGACUGUUUAUUUGGCUGACAUACUUUUCUGUGAAUCAGCCUUGUUCUAUUUCUCCGAGUACAUGGAGAAGGAAGACGCAGUUAACGUAUUGCAGUUCUGGUUGGCAGCAGAUAACUUCCAGUCUCAACUUGCUGCCAAAAAAGGCCAGUAUGAUGGGCAAGAAGCACAGAACGAUGCCAUGAUUUUAUAUGACAAGUAUUUCUCCCUUCAAGCCACACAUCCCCUGGGGUUUGAUGACUCCGUGAGGUUGGAGAUCGAGUCCAACAUCUGCAGGGAAGGGGGUCCUCUCCCCAACUGUUUCACGACUCCCUUACGGCAGGCGUGGACCACCAUGGAGACGGUUUUUUUACCUGGUUUCUUGUCCAGCAACCUUUACUACAAAUACUUGAAUGACCUCAUCCAUUCAGUACGAGGAGAUGAAUUUCCAGGAGGGAAUAUUGCCCUGAGUAUUCACGGCCCUGGUAGCUCUCCUGACAGCGACUCUGUUGGGGGCCCGGAUGGAUCUGCCUCCCAGUCCAAUGUCAAAAAGGCUAAUGUUAAAAUCCUGAAAAAUUUUGAUGAAGCAAUAAUUGUAGAUGCUGCAAGUCUGGAUCCAGAAUCUUUAUAUCAACGAACAUAUGCAGGGAAGAUGACGUUUGGCCGAGUCAGUGACCUGGGACAGUUUAUCAGAGAGUCUGAACCGGAGCCUGAUGUCAAAAAAUCAAAAGCUGGACUCCUGGGAGUAUGAGCAGCCUGUGGGAGUUGGAGCUGUCGAUGGAACCUGGCAGGGAUGAAACCCACUAACAGCUGAGCUGAUGAUCAAACCUUCAAAGAUUUGGUCUCGAGAUGAAAAAGAACUUCAGCUCUCCACACGCUUCCCACCCAGUUUGGGAUCUGCUGUCAAUGCCGCUUUGUGGCUCUGGGUCCAUGUUUUCACAAGCAAUGAAGAAAUGGGUUCAAGGAAACACAGAUGAGGCUCAAGAAGAGAUGGCGUGGAGGAUAGCGAAGAUGAUCGUCAAUGACGUUAUGCAGCAGGCGCAGUGUGAACAGCCUUCGGAGAAGGUCACGAAGCUAUGAUUUUAGAAACACCAGAACAGGAAAUCUGGUUUUCCGCUUCGAGAAUGAGUGAACUUUCCCGUUUGGUGGAUUCUUUAACACAGCCAAUAAAAACAAAGCACUGUUACUCCAACCGCCGAGAGCUCCCUCGUUUAUAAGGAAGAACUAAAAAGAAGCAAUCCUGUACCUCCACUGUAGAGCGUGAAGAAACACUUUUUCCUGUUGUAUGUGGCAUCACAAUAAUGAUGGUUUUUAAAGAGAUGAAGACGCAGUUUGCAGAUGUGUCACUGAGAAACUGUGAUCAGCUUCACAAAUUCUUGACCUGUCUCCAAAAGACUUUUAAGCAAAAUAUCUGGAAUGGGACACAAGCCACAACAAAGAGGGGAAGGUUUUGCUGUAGUUUCUAGUUCCACUACUUGUAAUUUUCGAACACAUAAUUGGAAAGGCCACGGGGCGCAUCCCCAAAUGGGCCGUCGGAGAAGUGAACCUGAAAGGGUGAAUUCGUUGGCAGCGAAUGACCUAAAAAGUUUUAAGGUUUAUUUUUCCUUACUUGAAAUAGGUGCGUAUUCAACUGUAAGAUAAAUGUGUUUGACUUCAUAACUGCAUUAACUCUGAAGGCAGCGCAGAAUGAAGGGAGCGAAGCCUUGAGCUCUUCCGCGGGCGAACGCCCGUCCUGCCCUCCUGCCGCCCUCCCGAGGAGCCGUACCCUCCACACCACUCCAUUUUCUUUCCUCUCCAUCCCACGAGCAAGGAAAACAGUAAUUGCUGCCAUUCUCCAUAGCUUGUUGUCCUCCAAUCCCCAGAGUAUCUUAAUUCCAGAUGUUUGGUUUACAAAGAAAUAAUUUUAAUGACCUCUGGCAUUUUCCUUGGCAUUAUCAACAUUUGCAAACCCCUUAGCUGAAGUAAAAAAGCCACCAUGUUACACAACACCUCUGCUUUGAUUUGGUUUCUUUUCCCAGUGAAUUGAUUUUGCAGGGUAUUAAAACCACUCAGUGUGUCACCAUUAUGUUAUUGCAUUUUUAGUCUACAACACUUUGAUUUUGGGAUUUCUAUUUUACGAUUGCUUUUUUUUCUCAAACUUGUGCAAAAAACAAAAUCACUUUGCAAAGAACUCAAAUCAUCUCCAGUGUUCAGAAUAUCUUGAUUGACUAGCAAAUGUUAUUCUGUUGCAAUAUUCGAUUGUAUAGAGACACUGUAUUGUCUAUUAAAAAAGCAAAAAAGGCUGUGUAUAGGUUUUUGGUACUAUGUACCACCUCUUAUUUCUCUCAUGCCUGAGUAUUCAUGUACUUAAAACAUACUAUAUUUAAUUGUGUUUUGAUUUAAAAUAUAUAAAUAUUAAAAUUUG
Molecule: RNA transcript, 3805 nt
Organism: Columba livia (rock pigeon)
Lineage: Eukaryota; Metazoa; Chordata; Aves; Columbiformes; Columbidae
Gene: AKAP10
Gene name: A-kinase anchoring protein 10
Exons: 16
Source: RefSeq, a predicted model, not a curated record